This is a small nuclear RNA of Cavia porcellus (domestic guinea pig), 104 nucleotides long. The record is from Ensembl. NCBI's taxonomy places the organism in Eukaryota, Metazoa, Chordata, Mammalia, Rodentia, Caviidae.
AUGCUUUGGUAGCACAUACACUAAAAUCAGUGUAAUACAGAAAGGAUUAGCAUAGCCUAUGCACAGGUAUGACAUACAAGUUUAAAGUGGUUCAUAAUUUUAAU